Molecule: ribosomal RNA, 790 nt
Filed under: uncultured bacterium
Lineage: Bacteria
Description: bacterial SSU rRNA
Rfam family: Bacterial small subunit ribosomal RNA
Source: RNAcentral
UCGCACGAGAAAGUGGAGCAAUCCAUGAGUAAAGUGGCGCACGGGUGAGUAACACGUGAAUCAUCUACCUCCGAGUGGGGAAUAACCUAGAGAAAUCUGGGCUAAUACCGCAUAACACUUACGAGUCAAAGCAGCAAUGCGCUUGGAGAGGAGUUCGCGGCCGAUUAGCUAGUUGGCGGGGUAAUGGCCCACCAAGGCGAUGAUCGGUAUCCGGCCUGAGAGGGCGCACGGACACACUGGAACUGAAACACGGUCCAGACUCCUACGGGAGGCAGCAGUGGGGAAUUUUGCGCAAUGGGGGAAACCCUGACGCAGCAACGCCGCGUGGAGGAUGAAAUCCCUUGGGAUGUAAACUCCUUUCGAUGGGGAAGAUUAUGACGGUACCCAUAGAAGAAGCCCCGGCUAACUUCGUGCCAGCAGCCGCGGUAAUACGAGGGGGGCAAGCGUUGUUCGGAAUUAUUGGGCGUAAAGGGUGCGUAGGCGGUUUGACAAGUCUGAUGUGAAAUCUAUGGGCUCAACCCAUAGUCUGCAUCGGAAACUGUCGGGCUUGAGUAUGGGAGAGGUGAGUGGAAUUUCCGGUGUAGCGGUGAAAUGCGUAGAUAUCGGAAGGAACACCUGUGGCGAAAGCGGCUCACUGGACCAUUACUGACGCUGAGGCACGAAAGCUAGGGGAGCAAACAGGAUUAGAUACCCUGGUAGUCCUAGCCCUAAACGAUGAUUGCUUGAUGUGGCAGGUACCCAAUCCUGCCGUGUCGAAGCUAACGCGAUAAGCAAUCCGCCUGGGGAGUAC